ACGUAGGGUGCGAGCGUUAAUCGGAAUUACUGGGCGUAAAGCGUGCGCAGGCGGUUUUUUAAGACAGAUGUGAAAUCCCCGGGCUUAACCUGGGAACUGCAUUUGUGACUGGAAGACUAGAGUGUAGCAGAGGGGGGUAGAAUUCCACGUGUAGCAGUGAAAUGCGUAGAUAUGUGGAGGAAUACCGAUGGCGAAGGCAGCCCCCUGGGCUAACACUGACGCUCAUGCACGAAAGCGUGGGGAGCAAACAGGAUUAGAUACCCUGGUAGUCCACGCCCUAAACGAUGUCAACUAGGUGUUGGGGAAGGAGACUUCUUUAGUACCGCAGCUAACGCGAUAAGUUGACCGCCUGGGGAGUACGGUCGCAAGAUUA
This 373-nucleotide ribosomal RNA is filed under the name uncultured bacterium. RNAcentral describes it as "bacterial SSU rRNA". It matches the Rfam family "Bacterial small subunit ribosomal RNA", at positions 525 to 896 of the family's 1533-position model. The record is from RNAcentral.